AGAAUCAACGCUGGCGGCGUGCCUAACACAUGCAAGUCGAACGAGAAAGUGGAGCAAUCCAUGAGUAAAGUGGCGACCGGGUGAGUAACACGUGACUAACCUACCUUUCAGUGGGGAAUAACCUCGGGAAACCGGGGCUAAUACCGCAUAAUGUCUACGGACCAAAGGAGCAAUUCGCUGGAAGAGGGGGUCGCGGCCGAUUAGCUAGUUGGCGGGGUAACGGCCCACCAAGGCAAUGAUCGGUAGCCGGCCUGAGAGGGCGCACGGCCACACUGGAACUGAAACACGGUCCAGACUCCUACGGGAGGCAGCAGUGGGGAAUUUUGCGCAAUGGGGGAAACCCUGACGCAGCAACGCCGCGUGGAGGAUGAAGCCCCUUGGGGUGUAAACUCCUUUCGAUCGGGACGAUUAUGACGGUACCGGAUGAAGAGCACCGGCUAACUCUGCGCCAGCAGCCGC
RNAcentral lists this ribosomal RNA (459 nucleotides) under uncultured bacterium. Its description in RNAcentral is "SSU rRNA". It matches the Rfam family "Bacterial small subunit ribosomal RNA", at positions 26 to 518 of the family's 1533-position model. The record is from RNAcentral.